Lynx canadensis (Canada lynx) is the source of this 942-nucleotide long non-coding RNA. RefSeq lists it as uncharacterized. Lineage: Eukaryota; Metazoa; Chordata; Mammalia; Carnivora; Felidae. The transcript has 3 exons. The record is from RefSeq and is a predicted model, not a curated record.
CGGCGCGGGCCCGCGCACCCCCCGCCCCGGCCCCCAGCACGCCCCGAGGGCGCCAGGAUAGGAGUGGAACGGGCUGAUUCAGGGGUUUGCUGUGGAGGCAUCGCGCGUGGGACAACAGCCUGCGACUGGCGAGACCAAGGAAACUCGCUGCCGGGGUCCUGGCUGGACCUAGCGGAAACUUAGGUCUCCGGCAGCCAGGAACCUUGCCACCCUUGGCCCACCCCGGAAUUUGUAGAUGAACUACCCAGGAGCGGUGUAUGAGGCGACAGCGGCGUGCAGACCCGCUUUGGGACAGGUUAUAAACAUCUUCCUUUUCAAGAACGCUCAAGCCAGUCUAAGAUCUGAGGCACCGGUGAGGAGAUAACAACAGCCAAUUAUCCUACCUUGGUAUGCUGAGCAACUUAACCUUGAAGCAGAAUUAACUCUUAUCAGUGGUCUUAUUAGUGGCCUUAAAACACAGGGAUGGGGAUGCCCAAAGAUAAUUUAGUAAGUAUGAUUAAUUUUUCAAUGAUUCCAGAGCUCAAAGAGUUCUGUAAGUGAACCCUCUGCCCCAAAACUGAAGUAAGAUGGUUUUCAUGUAUCAGAAAAUUCUGCCUUAAUUUAACCUAAAUUCUUAAGGGCUUUUAAACCCAUUUUCCUCCCAAGUUCUGCAUUAAGUCACUCUCCUUCCUUAUAAUUAAAAUGUUUGCAGAAACUGUUGCCAUCUAGCCUUCUGUUCUUUAAACAUUUACUUUUCUCCCUUAUUUCCUAUUUUUAAGUCAGCUUUGCUGUUCUUCUGAACCCUUUCAUUAUCUUCAUGUCUUUCUUACUGAAAGUCAAACAUAUCAAAAGACUUCCCACAUUAAAUAAAUUUCUGUUUUAUCCUUAAUGGAACACUGUGUUUGUUAUUAGUUUCAUUCAGUUGACUUGGAGCUGCCGCAUCUCAUUUCUAACAUUCAGUAA